RNAcentral lists this ribozyme (117 nucleotides) under Aedes aegypti (yellow fever mosquito). Its description in RNAcentral is "drz-agam-1 ribozyme". It matches the Rfam family "drz-agam-1 ribozyme". The record is from Rfam by way of RNAcentral. Lineage: Eukaryota; Metazoa; Arthropoda; Insecta; Diptera; Culicidae.
UGCCCAGCAACUCCUACCCCUACAUCCUCGUGGUACUGGCCGGGGUACGAGUAACCUUGGGGAAGAUCGGGUAACCAACCCCCGGUGGGAACUUUGGUCGUAUGCUGACAGGGAAGG